AUUGCACGCUGGCGGCAGGCCUAACACAUGCAAGUCGAGCGAGCGGCGGACGGGUGAGUAAUGUCUGGGGACUGCACGAUAGAGGGUGAUAACUACUGGAAACGGUAGCUAAUCCCGCAUACUAUCGGAUAGCCCAUAUGGGAUGAGCUAGUAGGUGAGGUAAUGGCGCAACUAGGCGACGAUCCCUAGCUGGUCUGCGAGGCUGAUCAGCCACCCUGGGACUGGGACACGGCCCAGGCUCCUACGGAGGCAGCAGUGGGGAAUAGUGCACGAUGGGCGCAAGCCUGAGGCAGCCAUGCCGCGUGUAGGAAGAAGGCCCUAGGGUUGUAAAGUACUUUCAGUCGGGAGGCGUUACCGACAGAAGAAGCACCGGCUAACUCCGUGCCAGCAGCCGCGGUAAUAC
This 403-nucleotide ribosomal RNA is filed under the name uncultured bacterium. RNAcentral's name for it is "partial 16S ribosomal RNA". It matches the Rfam family "Bacterial small subunit ribosomal RNA", at positions 29 to 526 of the family's 1533-position model. The record is from RNAcentral.